UAGAUAUGGAUUCACAAGAUCCUGGACACAUGUACUUCACCAACCUCUUCAGUGAAGAUCCUCAACUAGACCCCACAUACGGUGGGCAAAGUGGAAACUCUCCUAUGACUGUUGAUGACUCUCCACCCCUAUCCCAUAAUGAUCUUAUCAGUGUUAGGAAAUCAGUCAGGGGUGCGAACUUCACUCCCGAAGAAGACAAGUUACUUCUCUCCGCAUGGCUUAAUUGUAGCCUUGAUGCCGUCCAGGGAACAGACCAAAAACACUCCCAACUUUGAAAAAAAAAAAAAUUUGAAUGCUUC
Molecule: long non-coding RNA, 299 nt
Organism: Juglans microcarpa x Juglans regia
Lineage: Eukaryota; Viridiplantae; Streptophyta; Magnoliopsida; Fagales; Juglandaceae
Exons: 4
Source: RefSeq, a predicted model, not a curated record